Hyla sarda is the source of this 551-nucleotide long non-coding RNA. RefSeq lists it as uncharacterized. The record is from RefSeq and is a predicted model, not a curated record. The transcript has 4 exons. NCBI's taxonomy places the organism in Eukaryota, Metazoa, Chordata, Amphibia, Anura, Hylidae.
GGUCACCAGCGUUUUCCCAUUGUCUCUGGGCUGCAUGUCUAGACUAGCAUGUGCAAUCUGUGGGGAGACACGAAGAAGAGAGGGGUGCUGAGGAGAGUCUGCCGUGCAAGAGGGAGAUGACAACCCUUCUUCCUCUGCUCUUUACAAGUUACCCAGUAAUGGAUAGUCCUGGACCAAGACUGUUUGUUUGUUUGCGGGCACCUACAUCUAUGUACCCUGGUUGUGCUGCUUCUGUGAAUUGUUGGUUUGUCGACUGGUCCGCCUGAAGCGUGCACCCUCAGAUGAAUUCAACAUGGAUCCUCUCCUUUCUGAAAUCGCCCUCAGGAUACACCAAACGUCAAUCCACCAGGAGGGGAGGCCGUAAUCACUGCCAGAGCUACAAGAUCCCGUAUUUAACGCCAAGUGAAGAACAAACAAGGGAAACUCCAAUUCAAGAGACAGUAAAUCCACACUCUGUGAUUACAACACGGACUAAAGAACUACACCACCAACUCUCACACAAUUAUUCUUUAUAUAUGUUUUUUCUUUCCUGGAAUAUAUCUACAGUGGGG